GACGAACGCUGGCGGCGUGCUUAACACAUGCAAGUCGAACGGAAAGGCCCUGCUUUUGUGGGGUGCUCAUGUGGCGAACGGGUGAGUAACACGUGUGUAACCUGCCCUUGACUUUGGGAUAACUUCAGUAAACUCGAGCUAUUACCGGAUAGGAGCUCCUGCUGCAUGGUGGGGGUUGGAAAGUUUCGGCGUUUGGGGAUGGACUCGCGGCUUAUCAGCUUGUUGGUGGGGAAGUGGCUUACCAAGGCAUUGACGGGUAGCCGGCCUGAGAGGGUGACCGGCCACAGUGGGACUGGGGUACGGCCCAGAGUCCUACGGGAGGCAGCAGUGGGGAAUAGUGCACAAUGGGCGGAAGCCUGAUGCAGCGACUCCGGGUGCGGGAUGACUGCCUUCGGGUUGUAAACCGUUUUCGCCUGUGACGAAGCGUGAGUGACGGUAAUGGGUAAAGAAGCACCGGCUAACUACGUG
RNAcentral lists this ribosomal RNA (468 nucleotides) under uncultured bacterium. RNAcentral's name for it is "partial 16S ribosomal RNA". It matches the Rfam family "Bacterial small subunit ribosomal RNA", at positions 28 to 507 of the family's 1533-position model. The record is from RNAcentral.